UACGUAGGGACCAAGCGUUGCCCGGAAUCAUUGGGCGUAAAGAGCGUGUAGGCGGCUUGUUAAGUCUUGCGUGAAAUCUCGGGGCUCAACCCCGAGCGGUCGUGAGAAACUGGCAGGCUAGAGUGCGGGAGAGGAGAGUGGAAUUCCUGGUGUAGCGGUGAAAUGCGCAGAUAUCAGGAAGAACACCAAUGGCGAAGGCAGCACUCUGGGACGUGACUGACGCUGAGACGCGAAAGCGUGGGGAGCAAACAGG
RNAcentral lists this ribosomal RNA (253 nucleotides) under uncultured bacterium. RNAcentral's name for it is "partial 16S ribosomal RNA". It matches the Rfam family "Bacterial small subunit ribosomal RNA", at positions 524 to 776 of the family's 1533-position model. The record is from RNAcentral.